GGACCUGUGGCGUGAAGGAGAGCCUAUCCGUCCGGUAUCGACUUCGGAAGCUCCCUCGAAUGGGACCCCGUAGCGGGUGCGAGGCCCGUAAAGAAGUCGCGCCGGUCGGUUUGAGCCUCCUCAGAGUCGGGUUACUUGAGAGUGUAGCCCAAAGCGGAAGGUAAACCCCUUCUAAGGCUAAAUAAGACCGCGAGACCGAUAGCGAACAAGUACCGCGAGGGAAAGUUGAAAAGAACUUUGAAGAGAGAGUUCAAAAGGGCGUGAAACCGCUUAGAAUAAAACGGACGGAACCGUCUGAGGCCCGUCGGAAUCAGUCGAAUCGACGCGUGAAAACGGGCGCUUCGAUUAAAAACGGAACGCAAGUCCCGUAGCCCCGUUAGAUUAUAGAGUAGCGCUCGUUCGAUGCAUUUCCGAUGGGUAAGCGCCGCGACCGGCGCGAAAGGCUAGCGAAGCCGUCGGAUUGAGGGCGAGCUCGUUUACGCGAGUCUCGUAACCAGUCCUUCGGUCGAAAAUAUAAAUCGUUAGACCCUAGCGUCGAGAGAUAUAAAGAACGAACGUCGGCGAUAAAUAUAAAGCGCUCGUCUAUUACGACGGAGGUGCGACCGAUCGAUCGUAACCUGCUCGCAGGUUUCGGUUAGACUAUCCGGUUCGUAUCCGAAGUCGUCGACGACGUUUACGACGUUCGGGCGUCUGCGGCGUCCGAGUCGGUCACCCGUCCGACCCGUCUUGAAACACGGACCAAGGAGUCUAACGUAAGCGCAAGCUAAUGGGUGGAAAACCCAUAAGCGAAAUAAAAGUAAAAGUCGUCUCGGACGACUGAGGUACGAUCCCGCAGGAUAGUCCUAGUCCUCGGGCGCAGUACCGUCCCGUCCCGACCGCACGUCGGUAGGGCGGAGACAGAGUGCCUACGUUGGGACCCGAAAGAUGGUGAACUAUGCCUGA
This 942-nucleotide ribosomal RNA is filed under the name Xiphinema hunaniense. RNAcentral describes it as "partial large subunit ribosomal RNA". It matches the Rfam family "Eukaryotic large subunit ribosomal RNA", at positions 139 to 840 of the family's 3401-position model. Lineage: Eukaryota; Metazoa; Nematoda; Enoplea; Dorylaimida; Longidoridae. The record is from RNAcentral.